Molecule: ribosomal RNA, 523 nt
Filed under: Pyrenophora tritici-repentis
Lineage: Eukaryota; Fungi; Ascomycota; Dothideomycetes; Pleosporales; Pleosporaceae
Description: eukaryotic LSU rRNA
Rfam family: 5.8S ribosomal RNA (bases 184-337)
Source: RNAcentral
CAUUACACAAAUAUGAAGCCGGACUGGGAUAGGGCCUCGCUGCCUUGCCCGUCUGGCGCCAUAUUCACCCAUGUCUUUUUGCGUACUACUUGUUUCCUUGGCGGGUCCGCCCGCCAAUUGGACCUUAUUCAAACCUUUUUUUCAGUUGCAAUCAGCGUCAGCAAAACAAAUGUAAUCAAUUACAACUUUCAACAACGGAUCUCUUGGUUCUGGCAUCGAUGAAGAACGCAGCGAAAUGCGAUAAGUAGUGUGAAUUGCAGAAUUCAGUGAAUCAUCGAAUCUUUGAACGCACAUUGCGCCCUUUGGUAUUCCAAAGGGCAUGCCUGUUCGAGCGUCAUUUGUACCCUCAAGCUUUGCUUGGUGUUGGGCGUCUUGUCUCUCUCCCGAGACUCGCCUUAAAAUCAUUGGCAGCCGGCCUACUGGUUUCGGAGCGCAGCACAUUAUUUGCGCUCUUGUCCAGCCGCGGUCGCGCGUCCAUGAAGCUUCUUUCAACCUUUUGACCUCGGAUCAGGUANGGAUACNC